This 460-nucleotide ribosomal RNA is filed under the name uncultured bacterium. RNAcentral's name for it is "partial 16S ribosomal RNA". It matches the Rfam family "Bacterial small subunit ribosomal RNA", at positions 338 to 795 of the family's 1533-position model. The record is from RNAcentral.
CCUACGGGAGGCAGCAGUGAGGAAUAUUGGUCAAUGGGCGCUAGCCUGAACCAGCCAAGUAGCGUGAAGGAUGACUGCCCUAUGGGUUGUAAACUUCUUUUAUAUGGGAAUAAAGUGCAGUAUGUAUACUGCUUUGCAUGUACCUUAUGAAUAAGGAUCGGCUAACUCCGUGCCAGCAGCCGCGGUAAUACGGAGGAUCCGAGCGUUAUCCGGAUUUAUUGGGUUUAAAGGGAGCGUAGGCGGGUUGUUAAGUCAGUUGUGAAAGUUUGCGGCUCAACCGUAAAAUUGCAGUUGAUACUGGCAGCCUUGAGUACAGUAGAGGUAGGCGGAAUUCGUGGUGUAGCGGUGAAAUGCUUAGACAUCACGAAGAACUCCGAUUGCGAAGGCAGCCUGCUGGACUGUAACUGACGCUGAUGCUCGAAAGUGUGGGUAUCAAACAGGAUUAGAUACCCCAGUAGUC